Chiroxiphia lanceolata (lance-tailed manakin) is the source of this 470-nucleotide long non-coding RNA. RefSeq lists it as uncharacterized. NCBI's taxonomy places the organism in Eukaryota, Metazoa, Chordata, Aves, Passeriformes, Pipridae. The record is from RefSeq and is a predicted model, not a curated record. The transcript is spliced from 3 exons.
CUCAGACCAGAGAAGGCAAAAAAGAGCCUGGUUCUUGUCCAAAGAACAGCUUGUUGGGCAAGGAAUCAAAUGAAUAGAACCUCGAAAAUUCUAGGGGAAUUGGCUCAUGACUUUGAUGAAAUAAGACAUGCUGUUUUACAGAACAGAGCAGCUAUAGAUUUUCUAUUGCUGGCUCAAGGGCAUGGGUGUGAAGAAUUUGAAGGUAUGUGCUGUAUGAAUCUUUCUGAUCACUCUCAGUCCAUUUACCAAAAACUAAAAGAAAUGCAAGGCCAUUUGAAUGACUUCAAAAUCCAAAAGGAUCCUAUUAGGGAAUGGUUAGCAAAGUUAGGCUUGGGACCAUGGCUUGCUGAGAUCGCUAAACAAGCUAUUUCACUUUUGUUGAUACUAUUGGUUGCUUUAUGCGUCGUUCCUUGUGUUUUUAAAUGCAUACAGAACAUGCUAACGAAGGCAAUGAAUGAUGUAUUUUUAAC